Molecule: long non-coding RNA, 306 nt
Filed under: Citrus sinensis (sweet orange)
Lineage: Eukaryota; Viridiplantae; Streptophyta; Magnoliopsida; Sapindales; Rutaceae
Description: long non-coding RNA (CSIN_LNC004217)
Source: RNAcentral
AUUUUACCCCAUUUAACUUUUAAUAUCCCAAAAUUACUCUCCCUUUAAAUUAAAAAAUAAGAAAACAAAAAAUCAAAACAAAAGUGAGCAAAUUGUCGUCAGUGUCCCGGCUCGUCAUUGACAAAGCUCCAUCAUCUUCACUAGUCAUUUUCCUAUGGAGCAGCAGUGCACAAACACCUUUGUGUCAUUACCAAAAGCUCCCUCGUUAUUGCUAUUCAUCGCCUAUGGAGACGUGACCGAUUGGCCAGCACAUCGUUGCCGUUUGGGUACUAGCAACCAACUAAAUAAUAAUAACAUAAUAACGAG